This is a long non-coding RNA of Carassius auratus (goldfish), 2278 nucleotides long. RefSeq lists it as uncharacterized. Lineage: Eukaryota; Metazoa; Chordata; Actinopteri; Cypriniformes; Cyprinidae. The record is from RefSeq and is a predicted model, not a curated record. The transcript has 8 exons.
UUGAGUUUUUAUUUUAAGGCAGAUGAAUCUGUAAACUCAAAUCAGACUUUCCAUGGAAAAGAUGCACUCACCCUUUCUGAAAUUAUUGUUUUCAUACAAAUCUUUUCCGGAUGAUAUUUUCUGGGAAUUGAGGAUGAGGAUAAUCUCAUCAUUUUGUUUAUUUGUAGAUUGCAUGCAUCAUUUGAUUGCGCUCAUCCGUCCUGGCCAAACCUGGACACAGGAAUGGAAAAGGGUGCUCCCACACUUGGUUCACUUGCCUGGUCCGAACCCGAGUUCUGGUGCUCCCCCCUGCCCCCGCUGGACUGUGUUCAUAUUAUAAUAUUUGAGUCCGAAACCGCGGUUCGCUUGCAUCAUCAAACCAGCAGCUGUUUACCCCGUUGCUUGGUAACGACAGCGCAGGAGAAUGCGCUUCGGUACAUAACGGCACUUGCGUCUGUCUUACGAAUGUACUGAAAAUACUCUAGAGCGUUGAAGGCGGACAUAAAUGAGAUGUACAGCUCUCUGCUUGCAGCGCGUCAGUCACGCUCAUCAGGAAAGUCAUGGAUGAACGACCCAUGAAAAGAAGAACACCAGCUGGGUGUACCAUCUGUCGCUGUGCAAUGUAGUGGACGGGCUGGGCAGAUGCCACCAUUGAGCUGGAUAGAAACCAAGCACAACAAACUGAUACGAAACAAAAACAAGCCGGACCCUGGAUGUAGUGGCAUGCUCGAUGAACAAGCAGUGAGCAGCAAAACAUGCCUGGAGGAAAUGCCACAGUAUGUACAUUCAAACCAUGCACUUAUGCUGAAUGCAAGACCGUGGAGUAGUGGGAGACAUGGUUGGAGAAGCACACAACCGUGAGUGAAAAUGAGUCCCCCACUGAAGCCAUCAAUCAACGUAAUGGAUAUGAGACAGGACAUCUCUAGAGAUGCGGCAGUGAAACUCUGCCCCUUUUAUUCCAUCACCACUGCUCUGAACGGCAGCCUCGGGAGACCAGGAGCAGGACAAUACCAGCCUUUCACUCAAGCAAGCAGCUCCAGUGAUUAGUCACAGGACAUUUACGACUGCCCGUGAUUCAACAACCAGGUUGCAUAAUUUUGGCACUGCAGGCCCUGGCCGAGUGACUGAGAUGAAUACGAAUGAUUUUCUAAAUCGGACACUUAGGUGCUUAGAUAUCAUGCUGACGUAGAAGGACUGUGCAUGAAGGUGGCUCACUAGUCUUUGGAACAAAUUAGGAGCCCCAGGACAGGUGUGAUUUCCUCAUGACACUUAUUUCACUGAUAGAUCACAUUUAAUUUCAUACUAGUGCCAGUGAGAAAAAAACAACAAAAACAGCAAGCAUGAAUCACUCAGGGAUCUGCGUUCAUCUUAUUCUCUUAAAUAUCAGCUGAAAACAGAAGGUCGUGCCAUCUGUCUUUUGCUGGAUUCAUACUUUGUUUGUUGCCAUGCACAUUAAGAGUAUCUUUUGUCACAAUGUUUGUUUUGUUUAGGUAAGAUGCAUCUUUUGUCCAUCCUUCUCUGUAUCUGUCUCCUGCAUGCUGUAGUCCUUGGCGCGUGACAUUUUUUUUCUUCUUACUGCAGCUGAAGCAUUGCAGGAACAACUGGAGUAGUCAACUGUGGGAGCCUCCGAGGAUUCCGGAGCCUGAAUUAGUGACUCUAUUUACAUUUGGCCCAUGCACACUGUUAGAAUCCCCUAUUUUUUGGGAGCACUGGGAUCUAAUAAUUCAUAAUAAAUAACUUUUCACGGUGGCUGAAAGAACAGUAUGCAAUACUUCAAAUCUGCAAGCCCUUUUCAGCUUCCAAGGAAACUCUCGACGGAAUGCAUCGUUCUCUCAUGCGAUUUUAAAGAGGUGCAAAUAAACGGUGAAAAUUUGCAAGCGAGACUAGACGUUUCAGUGAAAGCGGACUACAUUUAUAGAUGUAGAUCUUGUGUUUUGCCACGGAACAAGCCUCAGUCUAUUUCUAGCAUGUGUUUUGUGCCUGUGAGUCAACUUAGUGUAGCCUGACACCUGACAGAUGUACCGGCUGCACUUUUAAUUAUGAUGCAGGCCCCAACCCAAACUCAUUAAAACAUCUUGAAUAACAAAGGCUAGAUUGUCUGAGAUCAUUUGUCCCGCAGACAACAAAAUGCUGUAUUCCAGAUGAGCUGAUAAUUUGGCAUAAUAAAUGGAAAGCCGACUGCCUCACGCGUGGAAGAUUUAUCUCUGUUGAGCUCGGUGGUCAUUGUUCUUACUCACUGGCUGUAAAUUGAUGGGUUGUUGCAGAGUUGUAAGAGCCAGAUCUUCUGCCCCAGGUCCCU